RNAcentral lists this ribosomal RNA (131 nucleotides) under uncultured bacterium. RNAcentral describes it as "partial 16S ribosomal RNA". It matches the Rfam family "Bacterial small subunit ribosomal RNA", at positions 331 to 461 of the family's 1533-position model. The record is from RNAcentral.
CGCCCUUCCUACGGGAGGCAGCAGUGGGGAAUCUUGGACAAUGGGGGCAACCCUGAUCCAGCCAUGCCGCGUGUGCGAUGAAGGCCCUAGGGUUGUAAAGCACUUUUGGCGGGGACGACGAUGNCGUNCCC